Molecule: ribosomal RNA, 403 nt
Filed under: Verrucomicrobiota bacterium
Lineage: Bacteria; Pseudomonadati; Verrucomicrobiota
Description: Verrucomicrobia bacterium partial 16S ribosomal RNA
Rfam family: Bacterial small subunit ribosomal RNA
Source: RNAcentral
UGGGGAAUAUUGCACAAUGGAGGGAACUCUGAUGCAGCGACGCCGCGUGAACGAAGAAGGCUUUCGAGUCGUAAAGUUCUUUUAUAUGGGAAGAUAAUGACGGUACCAUAAGAAAAAGCCCCGGCUAACUACGUGCCAGCAGCCGCGGUAAUACGUAGGGGGCUAGCGUUGUCCGGAAUCACUGGGCGUAAAGGGUUCGCAGGCGGAAAUGCAAGUCAGGUGUAAAAGGCAGUAGCUUAACUACUGUAAGCAUUUGAAACUGCAUAUCUUGAGAAGGGUAGAGGUAAGUGGAAUUUUUAGUGUAGCGGUGAAAUGCGUAGAUAUUAAAAAGAAUACCGGUGGCGAGGGCGACUUACUGGGCUCAUUCUGACGCUGAGGAACGAAAGCGUGGGUAGCAAACAGG